AGAGAGGGGCCGGCUUGGCUUACACGCAGACGCAAUUAGUCGGUCUCGGAGGCUACUGUGCGGCGGUGCCCGCGCAGCUCCGCUCCACAAUAUUCCCGGCGCCGGCGCUGGGGCUGUUCUACAGAAGCAGACGCGCGGCCCAAAACACCUGUUGCUGUGUCAAAUACAGCAUCACCAUGGAUGACGACUUCUCUGAAAGUCUUCCCACCACUCCAACUGAGAAGAAAACCAAGAUGAGGCCAAAAUGGAGCAGUCCACUAGAGGGAAAGCUGGGACUAAUUGCCUCCAUGCUGUCUCCAUCUGACGACUUUAUCAUCGCGACCACUAUGUCCUAUAGGGGCGGAGGUUUUAUAUUUCUACCACUGCUUCUGAUAUUCUUGGCUCUGAUUGGCGUGCCAAUGCUUCUAUUGGAAGUUGGAGUUGGACAAUUUUCCGGACGAGGAACAUGGUGCGCCUGGAACAUAGCUCCGCUGUUCAAAGGCAUUGGCUAUCUGGUCACCAUUCUCAACGGCCAGUCUGCUCUGCUUUUCUUCUGGGUCGCCAUGGCCCAGUUUGUCUACUACUACGAUCUAAUAUCGCUCGGCCCGGAGGCAUCUUCCAUGUACGCUCACUGUUCAAACCAGACCGACAGUAGCUCGCAUGGAUAUGAAGAUUAUGGGAAGAGCUACGCAAGUGUGACUUCUGACGAAUUUGGACUGGGUUCAACGGCUUACUGUGAAGGAAAGACAAUUUUUGCUCGCCGCUGGCAGCGUCAUGAAGACAGGUUCGAUCCAACUGCGGGUCGUGCCGGAAACAUCCAGAUCCAGUGCAAGUGGUCGCAUGUUUUUGGUGUUUUCGCUGUCUGCGCGGUGGUUGCAGCAGGAAGACGAAUCUUGGGCCUGUUUUCAGCAGUUUGUGGUAGGUAUUCAAAUU
Molecule: long non-coding RNA, 912 nt
Organism: Amphibalanus amphitrite
Lineage: Eukaryota; Metazoa; Arthropoda; Thecostraca; Balanomorpha; Balanidae
Exons: 5
Source: RefSeq, a predicted model, not a curated record